AUUGAACGCUGGCGGCAGGCCUAACACAUGCAAGUCGAGCGGAUGAAGGGAGCUUGCUCCUGGAUUCAGCGGCGGACGGGUGAGUAAUGCCUAGGAAUCUGCCUGGUAGUGGGGGAUAACGUCCGGAAACGGGCGCUAAUACCGCAUACGUCCUGAGGGAGAAAGUGGGGGAUCUUCGGACCUCACGCUCUCAGAUGAGCCUAGGUCGGAUUAGCUAGUUGGUGGGGUAAAGGCCUACCAAGGCGACGAUCCGUAACUGGUCUGAGAGGAUGAUCAGUCACACUGGAACUGAGACACGGUCCAGACUCCUACGGGAGGCAGCAGUGGGGAAUAUUGGACAAUGGGCGAAAGCCUGAUCCAGCCAUGCCGCGUGUGUGAAGAAGGUCUUCGGAUUGUAAAGCACUUUAAGUUGGGAGGAAGGGCAGUAAGUUAAUACCGUGCUGUUUUGACGUUACCAACAGAAUAAGCACCGGCUAACUUCGUG
RNAcentral lists this ribosomal RNA (484 nucleotides) under uncultured bacterium. Its description in RNAcentral is "partial 16S ribosomal RNA". It matches the Rfam family "Bacterial small subunit ribosomal RNA", at positions 30 to 507 of the family's 1533-position model. The record is from RNAcentral.